Molecule: transfer RNA, 71 nt
Filed under: Bos taurus (domestic cattle)
Lineage: Eukaryota; Metazoa; Chordata; Mammalia; Artiodactyla; Bovidae
Also listed under: 5 other names
Rfam family: tRNA
About the family: Transfer RNA (tRNA) molecules are approximately 80 nucleotides in length. Their secondary structure includes four short double-helical elements and three loops (D, anti-codon, and T loops).
Source: Rfam by way of RNAcentral
UCCUUGGUGGCUCAGUGGUAAAGAAUCUGCCUGUAAUGCAGGAGACCCAGGUUCAAUCCUUGGGUCAGGAA